Molecule: ribosomal RNA, 463 nt
Filed under: uncultured Rhodocyclaceae bacterium
Lineage: Bacteria; Pseudomonadati; Pseudomonadota; Betaproteobacteria; Rhodocyclales; Rhodocyclaceae
Description: bacterial SSU rRNA
Rfam family: Bacterial small subunit ribosomal RNA
Source: RNAcentral
ACCCGCACAAGCGGUGGAUGAUGUGGAUUAAUUCGAUGCAACGCGAAAACCUUACCUACCCUUGACAUGUCCGGAAUCCCGAAGAGAUUUGGGAGUGCUCGCAAGAGAACCGGAACACAGGUGCUGCAUGGCUGUCGUCAGCUCGUGUCGUGAGAUGUUGGGUUAAGUCCCGCAACGAGCGCAACCCUUGUCAUUAGUUGCCAUCAUUUGGUUGGGCACUCUAAUGAGACUGCCGGUGACAAACCGGAGGAAGGUGGGGAUGACGUCAAGUCCUCAUGGCCCUUAUGGGUAGGGCUUCACACGUCAUACAAUGGUCGGUACAGAGGGUUGCCAACCCGCGAGGGGGAGCUAAUCCCACAAAGCCGAUCGUAGUCCGGAUCGCAGUCUGCAACUCGACUGCGUGAAGUCGGAAUCGCUAGUAAUCGUGGAUCAGCAUGUCACGGUGAAUACGUUCCCGGGUCUU